RNAcentral lists this ribosomal RNA (376 nucleotides) under uncultured bacterium. RNAcentral describes it as "bacterial SSU rRNA". It matches the Rfam family "Bacterial small subunit ribosomal RNA", at positions 389 to 758 of the family's 1533-position model. The record is from RNAcentral.
UGGAUUGACUGCAUGAGUAAAANGGCCUUCGGGUUGUAAAGCUCUUUUGUUAGGGAAGAACGGGUACCGGUUAAUAUCCUGGGCCCUUGACGGUACCUAAAGAAUAAGCCCCGGCUAACUUCGUGCCAGCAGCCGCGGUAAUACGUAGGGUGCAAGCGUUAAUCGGAAUUACUGGGCGUAAAGCGCGCGCAGGCGGUUUUGUAAGUCUGAUGUGAAAUCCCCGGGCUCAACCUGGGAAUUGCAUUGGAAACUGCGUGACUUGAGUCCGGAAGAGGGGGGUGGAAUUCCCCGUGUAGCGGUGAAAUGCGUAGAUAUGUGGAGGAACACCGGUGGCGAAGGCAACCUCCUGGACUGAUACUGACGCUGAUGCGCGAAA